Long non-coding RNA from Hippopotamus amphibius kiboko, 631 nucleotides. RefSeq lists it as uncharacterized. Lineage: Eukaryota; Metazoa; Chordata; Mammalia; Artiodactyla; Hippopotamidae. The record is from RefSeq and is a predicted model, not a curated record. The transcript is spliced from 3 exons.
GCAGUCUGCAGUCCAAAGAGGACUCUGAAUUUACUAUACUGGCAUCCUGAUCUCAGACUUCCACGUUCCAGAACUGUUUAAUCUAGGAACUGGAAGUAUGGCAGUGGACAAGAUCAAGUCUCCACCUUCAAUGAGUCAAAAAUGCAACUGGGGAUAGAAAGGAGUGUGUUUUGAAGACAGCAAAUGCCAAAAUUAUAUAGACAUAGCUACAUUCUCAUUGUUUUAAAAACUCAGAGAUUGUUUUAGUUUCUUGGCAUUCCUGAAUGCAGUUCCUUUGGAUAUGAUCUUCUAAAGCUUUUUCUUCAAAGAUUUCUUUUAAUGGAAAUAUGGGCUAAUACAGAUUCCCAAAAAAACAGUACACAUAAAUGAUGUUAAAAUCUUUAGCUGAAAUAGGAUAGUACCUCAAAGUGACGACAGCUUCCAUAUGUCAGAAGAAUCCUCCUUGUGUGAGAUGCAUACACAAAUGAUUAUUCCGGAAUGAUUGAGAGAACUCUCCUAGCUACAUUUAUUAAAUGGUAGAAAUUAUAUGUAAUAUAAAUUGCUUGUAAAUCAGAUUUUGGUCCAAUUGUUAAUGUUAGACACAAGACAUUUGACAAAUGGUUCUAGGAAUAAAGUUUGUGAGUAAAGUUGU